AAUCCAUGCAUUGGCCAUUUUCAAAUUAAAUCUUUAAAUCGUUCCCAAGCUUCAUAGAAUGUUUCAUCCUCUAACUACCAAAAAGACAUGAUGUCAUUUCUAAGCUU
Gossypium hirsutum (cotton) is the source of this 107-nucleotide non-coding RNA. NCBI's taxonomy places the organism in Eukaryota, Viridiplantae, Streptophyta, Magnoliopsida, Malvales, Malvaceae. The record is from Rfam.